GACGAACGCUGGCGGCGUGCUUAACACAUGCAAGUCGAACGGAAAGGCCCUGCUUUUGUGGGGUGCUCGAGUGGCGAACGGGUGAGUAACACGUGAGUAACCUGCCCUUGACUUUGGGAUAACUGCAGGAAACUGGGGCUAAUACCGGAUAGGAGCUCCUGCUGCAUGGUGGGGGUUGGAAAGUUUCGGCGGUUGGGGAUGGACUCGCGGCUUAUCAGCUUGUUGGUGGGGUAGUGGCUUACCAAGGCUUUGACGGGUAGCCGGCCUGAGAGGGUGACCGGCCACAUUGGGACUGAGAUCCGGCCCAGACUCCUCCGGGAGGAAGCAGUGGGGAAUAUUGCACAAUGGGCGGAAGCCUGAUGCAGCAACGCCGCGUGCGGGAUGACGGCCUUCGGGUUGUAAACCGCUUUCGCCUGUGACGAAGCGUGAGUGACGGUAAUGGGUAAAGAAGCACCGGCUAACUACGUG
RNAcentral lists this ribosomal RNA (468 nucleotides) under uncultured bacterium. RNAcentral's name for it is "partial 16S ribosomal RNA". It matches the Rfam family "Bacterial small subunit ribosomal RNA", at positions 28 to 507 of the family's 1533-position model. The record is from RNAcentral.